RNAcentral lists this ribosomal RNA (201 nucleotides) under uncultured prokaryote. RNAcentral's name for it is "partial 16S ribosomal RNA". It matches the Rfam family "Bacterial small subunit ribosomal RNA", at positions 524 to 724 of the family's 1533-position model. The record is from RNAcentral.
UACAGAGACUGCAAGCGUUGUUCGGAUUCAUUGGGCGUAAAGGGUGCGCAGGCGGUCCGUUAAGUCGGAUGUGAAAUCUCACAGCCUAACUGUGAUAGGUCAUUCGAAACUGGCGGGCUUGAGGACUGGAGAGGAGACUGGAAUGGUCGGUGUAGCGGUGAAAUGCGUAGAUAUCGGGAGGAACACCUGUGGCGAAAGCGG